RNAcentral lists this ribosomal RNA (465 nucleotides) under Vreelandella stevensii. RNAcentral's name for it is "partial 16S ribosomal RNA". It matches the Rfam family "Bacterial small subunit ribosomal RNA", at positions 338 to 795 of the family's 1533-position model. Lineage: Bacteria; Pseudomonadati; Pseudomonadota; Gammaproteobacteria; Oceanospirillales; Halomonadaceae. The record is from RNAcentral.
CCUACGGGAGGCAGCAGUGGGGAAUAUUGGACAAUGGGCGAAAGCCUGAUCCAGCCAUGCCGCGUGUGUGAAGAAGGCCUUCGGGUUGUAAAGCACUUUCAGUGGGGAAGAAAGCCUUGGGGCUAAUACCCUCGAGGAAGGACAUCACCCACAGAAGAAGCACCGGCUAACUCCGUGCCAGCAGCCGCGGUAAUACGGAGGGUGCGAGCGUUAAUCGGAAUUACUGGGCGUAAAGCGCGCGUAGACGGUCUGAUAAGCCGGUUGGGAAAGCCCCGGGCUCAACCUGGGAACGGCAUCCGGAACUGUCAGGCUAGAGUGCAGGAGAGGAAGGUAGAAUUCCCGGUGUAGCGGUGAAAUGCGUAGAGAUCGGGAGGAAUACCAGUGGCGAAGGCGGCCUUCUGGACUGACACUGACGCUGAGGUGCGAAAGCGUGGGUAGCAAACAGGAUUAGAUACCCCUGUAGUC